UUCAUAUAAAAAUGUAUCGUGGACGAAAGGCCUGAGACAUAUCUGGCGAAUUAUAAACAAUGUCGCGAGAAAGCCGAUGUCGACAGGCCCAACAAUGUAUCGUCCUUCGAUCGAAUAGUUUCGCGGAAAAGGCCUGCGUGACCCUGGCCACGAGCGGCUGCGGAACACGUGCGUGGUGGGGCUAACACAAAGGACAAAGAGAUGCUAAGGGAGAAAGACGAAUUAAGAGUCAGUGUUGGUUGAGAAGUCAAAGAGUGUAAAUCGAGAAGUCAGAGAGUGCGAACUGCGUUGUCAAGAGAGUGUUGCCAGCGUUGUCGUGAGAGCGUGGUCCGUGUAAGAGAGAGCGUUGAAUCCGUGGUAACGAGAGUUGCAAAUUAAC
Bombus impatiens (common eastern bumble bee) is the source of this 379-nucleotide long non-coding RNA. RefSeq lists it as uncharacterized. The transcript is spliced from 3 exons. The record is from RefSeq and is a predicted model, not a curated record. Lineage: Eukaryota; Metazoa; Arthropoda; Insecta; Hymenoptera; Apidae.